Molecule: ribosomal RNA, 253 nt
Filed under: uncultured bacterium
Lineage: Bacteria
Description: partial 16S ribosomal RNA
Rfam family: Bacterial small subunit ribosomal RNA
Source: RNAcentral
UACGUAGGGUGCAAGCGUUGUCCGGAAUUAUUGGGCGUAAAGAGCUCGUAGGCGGUUCGUCGCGUCGGCUGUGAAAUCCCGAGGCUCAACCUCGGGUCUGCAGUCGAUACGGGCGGACUGGAGUUCGGCAGGGGAGACUGGAAUUCCUGGUGUAGCGGUGAAAUGCGCAGAUAUCAGGAGGAACACCGAUGGCGAAGGCGGGUCUCUGGGCCGAUACUGACGCUGAGGAGCGAAAGCGUGGGGAGCAAACGGG